RNAcentral lists this ribosomal RNA (301 nucleotides) under uncultured bacterium. Its description in RNAcentral is "partial 16S ribosomal RNA". It matches the Rfam family "Bacterial small subunit ribosomal RNA", at positions 509 to 807 of the family's 1533-position model. The record is from RNAcentral.
CAGCAGCCGCGGGAAUACGAAGGGGGCUAGCGUUGCUCGGAAUCACUGGGCGUAAAGGGUGCGUAGGCGGGUUUUUAAGUCAGAUGUGAAAUCCCGGGGCUCAACCCCGGAACUGCAUCCGAUACUGCCGUGCUAGAGGAUUGGAGAGGUAGCUGGAAUUCUUGGUGUAGCAGUGAAAUGCGUGGAGAUCAAGAGGAACACUCGUGGCGAAAGCGAGCUACUGGACAACAUCUGACGCUGAGGCUCGAAGGCCAGGGUAGCGAAAGGGAUUAGAUACCCCUGUAGUCCCUGUCUCUUAUAC